This 248-nucleotide ribosomal RNA is filed under the name uncultured bacterium. Its description in RNAcentral is "partial 16S ribosomal RNA". It matches the Rfam family "Bacterial small subunit ribosomal RNA", at positions 524 to 776 of the family's 1533-position model. The record is from RNAcentral.
UACGUAGGGUGCAAGCGUUGUCCGGAAUUAUUGGGCGUAAAGCGUCUGUAGGUGGCUUUUAAGUCCGCCGUCAAAUCCCAGGGCUCAACCCUGGACAGGCGGUGGAAACUACCAAGCUGGAGUACGGUAGGGCAGAGGGAAUUCCGGUGGAGCGGUGAAAUGCGUAGAGAUCGGAAAGAACACCAACGGCGAAAGCACUCUGCUGGCCGACACUGACACUGAGAGACGAAAGCUAGGGAGCGAAUGGG